AGCGAACGCUGGCGGCAUGCUUAACACAUGCAAGUCGCACGGAUCUUUCGUGAUCAGUGGCGGACGGGAGGGUAACGCGUAGGGAUCUAUCCAUGGGUGGUGGACAACUCCGGGAAACUGGAGCUAAUACCGCAUGAUACCUGAGGGUCAAAGGCGCAAGUCGCCUGUGGAGGAACCUGCGUUCGAUUAGCUAGUUGGUGGGGUAAAGGCCUACCAAGGCGAUGAUCGAUAGCUGGUUUGAGAGGAUGAUCAGCCACACUGGGAGUGAGACACGGCCCAGAUUCAUACGGGAGGCAGCAGUGGGGAAUAUUGGACAAUGGGCGAACGACUGAUCCAGCAAUGCCGCGUGUGUGAAGAAGGUCUUCGGAUUGUAAAGCACUUUCGACGGGGACGAUGAUGACGGUACCCGUAGAAGAAGCCCCGGCUAACUUCGUG
Molecule: ribosomal RNA, 435 nt
Filed under: uncultured bacterium
Lineage: Bacteria
Description: partial 16S ribosomal RNA
Rfam family: Bacterial small subunit ribosomal RNA
Source: RNAcentral